RNAcentral lists this unclassified non-coding RNA (251 nucleotides) under uncultured fungus. RNAcentral's name for it is "partial contains 5.8S ribosomal RNA, internal transcribed spacer 2, and large subunit ribosomal RNA". The record is from RNAcentral. Lineage: Eukaryota; Fungi.
AACGCACAUUGCGCCCGCCAGCACUCUGGCGGGCAUGCCUGUCCGAGCGUCAUUUCAACCCUCGCGCCCCCCAGGGGGCUCGGUGUUGGGGGCCGGCCCUGGCCGCCCCCGAAAUGCAGUGGCGACCUCGCCGCGGCCUCCCCUGCGUAGUAGAGCACACCUCGCACCGGAGCGCGGAGACGGUCACGCCGUAAAACGCCCCAACUCCAGUAGUUGACCUCGGAUCAGGUAGGAAUACCCGCUGAACUUAA